This 494-nucleotide ribosomal RNA is filed under the name uncultured bacterium. Its description in RNAcentral is "partial 16S ribosomal RNA". It matches the Rfam family "Bacterial small subunit ribosomal RNA", at positions 30 to 507 of the family's 1533-position model. The record is from RNAcentral.
AUUGAACGCUGGCGGCAUGCUUUACACAUGCAAGUCGAACGGCAGCGGGGAGGAGCUUGCUUCUCUGCCGGCGAGUGGCGCACGGGUGAGUAAUACAUCGGAACGUGUCGAGAAGAGGGGGAUAACCACCCGAAAGGGUGGCUAAUACCGCAUAAAUUCUGAGGAAGAAAGCUGGGGACCUGGGAAUAGGCCUAGCGCUUUUUGAGCGGCCGAUGUCGGAUUAGCUAGUUGGUGAGGUAAAGGCUCACCAAGGCGAAGAUCUGUAGCGGGUCUGAGAGGAUGAUCCGCCACACUGGGACUGAGACACGGCCCAGACUCCUACGGGAGGCAGCAGUGGGGAAUUUUGGACAAUGGGGGCAACCCUGAUCCAGCCAUGCCGCGUGUAUGAAGAAGGCCUUAGGGUUGUAAAGUACUUUUGUUAGGGAAGAAAAGUCAGCUGUGAAUAAUGGCUGAUACUGACGGUACCUAAAGAAUAAGCACCGGCUAACUACGUG